UAGGGAAUCUUCCACAAUGGACGCAAGUCUGAUGGAGCAACGCCGCGUGAGUGAAGAAGGUUUUCGGACCGUAAAGCUCUGUUGUUGGUGAAGAAGGAUAGAGGUAGUAACUGGCCUUUAUUUGACGGUAAUCAACCAGAAAGUCACGGCUAACUACGUGCCAGCAGCCGCGGUAAUACGUAGGUGGCAAGCGUUGUCCGGAUUUAUUGGGCGUAAAGCGAGCGCAGGCGGAGGAAUAAGUCUGAUGUGAAAGCCCUCGGCUUAACCGAGGAAUUGCAUCGGAAACUGUUUUUCUUGAGUGCAGAAGAGGAGAGUAGAACUCCAUGUGUAGCGGUGGAAUGCGUAGAUAUAUGGAAGAAUACCAGUGGCGAAGGCGGCUCUCUGGUCUGCAACUGACGCUGAGGCUCGAAAGCAUGGGUAGCGAACAGGAUUAGAUACCCUGGUAGUCCAUGCCGUAAACGAUGAGUGCUAAGUGUUGGGAGGCUUCCGCCUCUCAGUGCUGCAGCUAACGCAUUAAGCACUCCGCCUGGGGGAGUACGACCGCAAGGU
RNAcentral lists this ribosomal RNA (549 nucleotides) under uncultured bacterium. RNAcentral's name for it is "partial 16S ribosomal RNA". It matches the Rfam family "Bacterial small subunit ribosomal RNA", at positions 355 to 894 of the family's 1533-position model. The record is from RNAcentral.